UUGCUCGCUUCGGCAGCACAUAUACUAAAAUUUGACCGAUACAGAGAAAAUUACAUGGCCCCUGCGCAAGGUAGACACGCAAUUCCUGAAGCGUUCAUUAUUUUU
RNAcentral lists this small nuclear RNA (105 nucleotides) under Tursiops truncatus (common bottlenose dolphin). Lineage: Eukaryota; Metazoa; Chordata; Mammalia; Artiodactyla; Delphinidae. The record is from RNAcentral.